This 1202-nucleotide ribosomal RNA is filed under the name Leuconostoc carnosum. Its description in RNAcentral is "bacterial SSU rRNA". It matches the Rfam family "Bacterial small subunit ribosomal RNA", at positions 268 to 1463 of the family's 1533-position model. The record is from RNAcentral. Lineage: Bacteria; Bacillati; Bacillota; Bacilli; Lactobacillales; Lactobacillaceae.
CCAAGACAAUGAUGCAUAGCCGAGUUGAGAGACUGAUCGGCCACAUUGGGACUGAGACACGGCCCAAACUCCUACGGGAGGCUGCAGUAGGGAAUCUUCCACAAUGGGCGAAAGCCUGAUGGAGCAACGCCGCGUGUGUGAUGAAGGCUUUCGGGUCGUAAAGCACUGUUGUAUGGGAAGAAAAGUUAAGGUAGGGAAUGACCUUAGCCUGACGGUACCAUACCAGAAAGGGACGGCUAAAUACGUGCCAGCAGCCGCGGUAAUACGUAUGUCCCGAGCGUUAUCCGGAUUUAUUGGGCGUAAAGCGAGCGCAGACGGUUGGUUAAGUCUGAUGUGAAAGCCCGGAGCUCAACUCCGGAAAGGCAUUGGAAACUGGUUAACUUGAGUGCAGUAGAGGUAAGUGGAACUCCAUGUGUAGCGGUGGAAUGCGUAGAUAUAUGGAAGAACACCAGCGGCGAAGGCGGCUUACUGGACUGUAACUGACGUUGAGGCUCGAAAGUGUGGGUAGCAAACAGGAUUAGAUACCCUGGUAGUCCACACCGUAAACGAUGAACACUAGGUGUUAGGAGGUUUCCGCCUCUUAGUGCCGAAGCUAACGCAUUAAGUGUUCCGCCUGGGGAGUACGACCGCAAGGUUGAAACUCAAAGGAAUUGACGGGGACCCGCACAAGCGGUGGAGCAUGUGGUUUAAUUCGAAGCAACGCGAAGAACCUUACCAGGUCUUGACAUCCUUUGAAGCUUUUAGAAAUAGAAGUGUUCUCUUCGGAGACAAAGUGACAGGUGGUGCAUGGUCGUCGUCAGCUCGUGUCGUGAGAUGUUGGGUUAAGUCCCGCAACGAGCGCAACCCUUAUUGUUAGUUGCCAGCAUUCAGAUGGGCACUCUAGCGAGACUGCCGGUGACAAACCGGAGGAAGGCGGGGACGACGUCAGAUCAUCAUGCCCCUUAUGACCUGGGCUACACACGUGCUACAAUGGCGUAUACAACGAGUUGCCAACCUGCGAAGGUGAGCUAAUCUCUUAAAGUACGUCUCAGUUCGGACUGCAGUCUGCAACUCGACUGCACGAAGUCGGAAUCGCUAGUAAUCGCGGAUCAGCACGCCGCGGUGAAUACGUUCCCGGGUCUUGUACACACCGCCCGUCACACCAUGGAAGUUUGUAAUGCCCAAAGCCGGUGGCCUAACCGUAAGGAGGAACCGUCUAAGGC